Molecule: long non-coding RNA, 254 nt
Filed under: Brassica napus (rape)
Lineage: Eukaryota; Viridiplantae; Streptophyta; Magnoliopsida; Brassicales; Brassicaceae
Description: long non-coding RNA (BNAP_LNC010509)
Source: RNAcentral
AACCUCUUUGACCUUCAUCAUAUGUUAGUGAAGGAUGCAAAAAUGCACUAAAAAAAUAUUUUCAUAUUUUUUUAAUUUUCUAAAAAUCUAUGUGUUAACCCCUACGAAAAUAUUGAGUUUUUCGGUAAAUGUUCUGUAUAAUGAAGCCUAUGAUCUUUAGUGUUAUUUUAAAAUUUAUAAACACAUUCUAUAUUUAUAUUAAUGUAUAUUAAACUAUCUUUCAUGGUACAAGGGCAUCAUGUUAAUUUUUUGUC